AUUGAACGCUGGCGGCAGGCCUAACACAUGCAAGUCGAACGGUAACAGGAAGAAGCUUGCUUCUUUGCUGACGAGUGGCGGACGGGUGAGUAAUGUCUGGGAAACUGCCUGAUGGAGGGGGAUAACUACUGGAAACGGUAGCUAAUACCGCAUAACGUCGCAAGACCAAAAAAGGGGGACCCUUUCGGGCCUCUUGCCAUCGGAUGUGCCCAGAUGGGAUUAGCUAGUAGGUGGGUAACGGCUCACCUAGGCGACGAUCCCUAGCUGGUCUGAGAGGAUGACCAGCCACACUGGAACUGAGACACGGUCCAGACUCCUACGGGAGGCAGCAGUGGGAAUAUUGCACAAUGGGCGCAAGGCCUGAUGCAGCCAUGCCGCGUGUAUGAAGAAGGCCUU
Molecule: ribosomal RNA, 396 nt
Filed under: uncultured bacterium
Lineage: Bacteria
Description: bacterial SSU rRNA
Rfam family: Bacterial small subunit ribosomal RNA
Source: RNAcentral